RNAcentral lists this ribosomal RNA (448 nucleotides) under uncultured bacterium. RNAcentral describes it as "partial 16S ribosomal RNA". It matches the Rfam family "Bacterial small subunit ribosomal RNA", at positions 330 to 794 of the family's 1533-position model. The record is from RNAcentral.
UCCAGACUCCUACGGGAGGCAGCAGUGGGGAAUAUUGCACAAUGGGGGAAACCCUGAUGCAGCGACGCCGCGUGAGCGAAGAAGUAUUUCGGUAUGUAAAGCUCUAUCAGCAGGGAAUAGAAAAGAAGGUACCUGAAAAAGAAGCCCCGGCUAACUACGUGCCAGCAGCCGCGGUAAUACGUAGGGGGCAAGCGUUAUCCGGAUUUACUGGGUGUAAAGGGGGCGCAGACGGCAGCGCAAGCCAGGAGUGAAAGCCCGGGGCCCAACCCCGGGACUGCGCUUGGAACUGCGCGGCUGGAGUGCAGGAGGGGCAGGCGGAAUUCCUGGUGUAGCGGUGAAAUGCGUAGAUAUCAGGAGGAACACCGGUGGCGAAGGCGGCCUGCAGGACUGCGACUGACGUUGAGGCCCGAAAGCGUGGGGAGCAAACAGGAUUAGAUACCCGAGUAUA